This 215-nucleotide unclassified non-coding RNA is filed under the name Hevea brasiliensis (rubber tree). Lineage: Eukaryota; Viridiplantae; Streptophyta; Magnoliopsida; Malpighiales; Euphorbiaceae. The record is from RNAcentral.
UGCCAAUUGAAGUUUUUAGUGACCUGCUAAAAUUAGUGACAAGAUCAAUUGACCAAACGUGAAAUCAAGUCCAAUCAAUUUCGAGGGGCAGGUUUCAGGUAUUGUAUUUCCAGGUUCACAAGAGUACAAGUGAUGUGAACUAUUGAGCACUAAGAGUCGCUAAGGUUGCACUACGUCAUGAUAGACCACCUAAGUAGAACUCACCUUAAAAAUCG